GGGGAAUAUUGCGCAAUGGGGGAAACCCUGACGCAGCAACGCCGCGUGCGGGAUGAAGGCCUUCGGGUUGUAAACCGCUUUCAGCAGGGACGAAGGGUUUCUGACGGUACCUGCAGAAGAAGCACCGGCUAACUCCGUGCCAGCAGCCGCGGUAAUACGGAGGGUGCAAGCGUUACUCGGAAUCACUGGGCGUAAAGAGCACGUAGGCGGCCUUGCAAGUCAGAUGUGAAAUCCAACGGCUUAACCGUUGAACUGCAUUUGAAACUGCAAGGCUAGAGUAUGGGAGAGGUAGGUGGAAUUCUCGGUGUAGGGGUAAAAUCCGUAGAGAUCGAGAGGAAUACUCAUUGCGAAGGCGACCUGCUGGAACAUUACUGACGCUGAGGUGCGAAAGCGUGGGGAGCAAACA
RNAcentral lists this ribosomal RNA (406 nucleotides) under uncultured Wolinella sp. RNAcentral describes it as "bacterial SSU rRNA". It matches the Rfam family "Bacterial small subunit ribosomal RNA", at positions 356 to 774 of the family's 1533-position model. Lineage: Bacteria; Pseudomonadati; Campylobacterota; Epsilonproteobacteria; Campylobacterales; Helicobacteraceae. The record is from RNAcentral.